GGAUAAUGCAAGUGUUUAACAGAUGCUUCACUAUUAAAAUAUUUUCCCCCCAAGUCUCAAAUAUUGAAGAAUCUCUAACCAGGUACAGUAUCACUCUGCUCUCUUUUCUGGUUGAAAAGAAAGAAAGAAAGAAAACGCAGGUAUUGCUUUUCGAAGUGCUUUGUAGGUAAUCGAGGGACACCAGUCCCUACGAAGACCUUGGGCGAUUUUGAAGUGCGGGCACCUCGAUUCCCCGAAUCUGUAGUGUGGCUGGUAUCGGUGUUCCCCUGGUUUAACUAGCCUGUUUGAAGGCACAGAUCAUUCAUGGGGAUGUAUAACCGAAACCAGUCCUCUCCACCGCCUGGGGAUCUUCACUUUCGCAGUCUACGACUGCCUGUGACUCCAGAAAGACAAACUGCAGAUUGGCCAAGUGCCUUUCAAACUGUUUUUUACUGGAUGAAGAAACUCAACCAAGAAAAUAUAUGUCGAUUCUUGUAUAUGGGACAAUAUUAGCUGCUGUGAUUUUUAAUACUAGCAUAAAAUAUAAGAAUCUUUUUAUUACUGUGAUAUUGUUUUUUCCUAAAUGAAUGCAUAGUGUAACAAUUGGUGUCAAAAAGCAUUGAAUUUUUUUCAGAUGGAUUAAGCUGGAAUAAUAAAGUAUAUCUAUGAGAUGAUUUCUGUAAACUCUGACUUGCUGAGAAAAAAGUGAAAAAGCUUUUUCUGGAAGAAACAUGGCAACUUAACCGUUAUUAAUCUGGACUAAAUAAAACAGGAAACUGCUUCUUUACAUUUCUAGUAAUUUUUUCUGCUUUUCCAAACAUUGUUAAGUUCUAUGCAACUUGUGCUAUUCAAGUAAAGAUGAUGUCAGUAAUAAAAUUACAGAAUCUAAAAAAAAAAAAAAAAA
This 883-nucleotide long non-coding RNA is filed under the name Homo sapiens (human). RNAcentral describes it as "HAND2 antisense RNA 1, transcript variant 1 (HAND2-AS1)". The record is from RNAcentral. Lineage: Eukaryota; Metazoa; Chordata; Mammalia; Primates; Hominidae.